Molecule: long non-coding RNA, 204 nt
Filed under: Lathyrus oleraceus (garden pea)
Lineage: Eukaryota; Viridiplantae; Streptophyta; Magnoliopsida; Fabales; Fabaceae
Description: Pisum sativum (pea) long non-coding RNA (PSAT_LNC037016)
Source: RNAcentral
AAAAAUCAAAUAUUAGACUAAUAAAUAAAUAAAUAACUGAAAAAUAAAAGAUGCAAAUAAAACAAACAUAAGACAUAAAUAUAGAUAAAAAUAGAAAUAUCAAUGUAUAAAUGUAGUUUAUAUAAUAUUCCAAAUGCGAUAAUGUAAAAUGAGUUAUGUAAAUACGAGAAAUAUAAAAAAAAGAUAAAAUAAGAUGAAAUGGUG